This 348-nucleotide unclassified non-coding RNA is filed under the name soil metagenome. RNAcentral's name for it is "partial contains 5.8S ribosomal RNA, internal transcribed spacer 2, and large subunit ribosomal RNA". The stretch from base 1 to 120 matches the Rfam family "5.8S ribosomal RNA", at positions 35 to 154 of the family's 154-position model. The record is from RNAcentral.
GAUGAAGAACGUAGCGAAAUGCGAUAAGUAAUGCGAAUUGCAGAAUUCCGUGAGUCAUCGAAUCUUUGAACGCACAUUGCGCCCUUUGGCAUUCCGAAGGGCAUGCCUGUUCGAGCGUCAUUUCAACCCUCAAGCCCCCGGGUUUGGUGUUGGGGAUCGGCUCUGCCCUUCUGGGCGGUGCCGCCCCCGAAAUACAUUGGCGGUCUCGCUGCAGCCUCCAUUGCGUAGUAGCUAACACCUCGCAACUGGAACGCGGCGCGGCCAUGCCGUAAAACCCCAACUUCUGAAUGUUGACCUCGGAUCAGGUAGGAAUACCCGCUGAACUUAAGCAUAUCAAUAAGCGGAGGA